AAAUGACUACAACCGCACAGACCGGGUUUUAAAGCAUCUGCUGCCCGUGAUGGCGAGUCUGAGUUCCUAA
Molecule: small RNA, 70 nt
Filed under: Exiguobacterium oxidotolerans
Lineage: Bacteria; Bacillati; Bacillota; Bacilli; Caryophanales
Also listed under: 1 other name
Source: RNAcentral